AACGAACGCUGGCGGCAUGCCUAACACAUGCAAGUCGAACGAUGCCUCCGUGCGUAGUGGCGCACGGGUGCGUCACGCGUGGGAAUCUGCCUUUCGGUUCGGAAUACCUCUGGUAAACUUGAGCUAAUACCGGAUAACGUCGCAAGACCAAAGAUUUAUCCCCGAAGGAUGAGCCCGCGUAGGUUUAGCUAGUUGGUGUGGUAAAGGCUCACCACGGCGUCGAUCCUUAGCUGGUCUGAGAGAAUGAUCAGCCACACUGGGACUAUGACGCGGUCCAGACUCCUACGGGAGGCAGCAGUGGGGAAUACAGGAAUAUGGGCGGAGGCAUGAUCGAGCAAUGCCGCGAGAGUGAUGAAGGCGUUAGGGAAGUAAAGCAGUUUUACCCGGGAAGAUAAUGACGGUACCGAGAGAAUAAGCCCCGGCUAACUCCGUG
RNAcentral lists this ribosomal RNA (433 nucleotides) under uncultured bacterium. RNAcentral describes it as "partial 16S ribosomal RNA". It matches the Rfam family "Bacterial small subunit ribosomal RNA", at positions 29 to 507 of the family's 1533-position model. The record is from RNAcentral.